CGCGAGAAGCCGCGAGGCCGCAGCCGGCCCACCCUGGGCUCCGGAGAGGUGCAGCCCCCGGCCCCGGAGCCCUCCCGGGGGCGCCAGGAAGCCACUUUGGGCCUGUCCCCAGGAAAACGUGGUCUCAGCUGUGGGGCCGUCGAGCAGGCCUCGACCCCUCUUCCUGACCUGAGGAGAGGCCCAGCGCCUCACCCUCACCCAGUCUUUGUGCAGGGCGCCGGCGGCCAUUGUGUCCGGGCGGGGAAUGGAGGACCCGGCAAUUCCCCACCGCCACGUUCAGGGCCUUUGGGGAAUUCAAAGAAAACCAGCGGCAUUUGUAGGGGGUCUCCGGCCUUCAACCUCCCAGACAGGCCUGGGGGUGGCCUUCCCAAAGUCAGAUCGGAGAUCCGAGGCAGUUUCCUCCUCCCUGCGUCCCUCACCGAAACCUUGAACCCCAUUGAGAAGUCCCUUCAGGGUUUCGGACGCCUCCACCUCACCCUGGGCUGGUACUUAAAUAGAAAAAAGAAAGGAAAAAAAAAAACCAACUAAAUCCAUACCAGCCACCUCCGGGAGAGUUCUCCUGGCUCCCAGUAGGAGGCGGAGAGCCAAGGGGCGUGCAAGAGCGAGGGGGCUGGGCUCUCGGGUGGCAGGAGGCCGCGGCUGCGGAGCGGCCGCCCUCGAUCCGGGCGAUGGAGGAGGAAGCAAGCGAGGGGGCUGGUUCCUGAGCUUCGCAAUUCCUGUGUCGCCUUCUGGGCUCCCAGCCUGCCAGGUCGCAUGAUCCCUCCGGCCGGAGCUGGGUUUUUUGCCAGCCGCCGCGAGGCCGGCUGAGUUACCGGCAUCCCCGCAGCCACCUCCUCUCCCGACCUGUGAUACAAAAGAUCUUCCGGGGGCUGCACCUGCCUGCCUUUGCCUAAGGCGGAUUUGAAUGUAGGUGGUGCGGGGGAGGGGGAGUGAGGGGGGGACUGCCCAAGGGGUGACUUUCCGAGGAAGGCAUUUCGGAGAAGAGGGGGGUAGAAAAGGCUGGUGGGAGAUUCAGAGUCCACUGGUGCUUUCGAUUUGACUUAAUUGAAGUAUCUUGGAACCUAGACCCAGACCUUCGUAAGACCCACAAAGAAACCAGUUCUGGUACCUGGAGGGGGAAUGGGAUGUUUAGGGUAAGUGGCAUGCAUAUUAAUUUUUUUUUUUCCUAAAGCUCUUUCUCUCCCUUCAGAAUCUUAUCUUGGCUUUGGAUCUUAGAAGAGAAUCACUAACCAGAGACCAGACUCAGUGAGUGAGCAGGUGUUUUGGACAAUGGACUGGUUGAGCCCAUCCCUAUUAUAAAAAUGUCUCAGAGCAACCGGGAGCUGGUGGUUGACUUUCUCUCCUACAAGCUUUCCCAGAAAGGAUACAGCUGGAGUCAGUUUAGUGAUGUGGAAGAGAACAGGACUGAGGCCCCAGAAGGGACUGAAUCGGAGAUGGAGACCCCCAGUGCCAUCAAUGGCAACCCAUCCUGGCACCUGGUGGACAGCCCCGCGGUGAAUGGAGCCACUGGCCACAGCAGCAGUUUGGAUGCCCGGGAGGUGAUCCCCAUGGCAGCAGUAAAGCAAGCGCUGAGGGAGGCAGGCGACGAGUUUGAACUGCGGUACCGGCGGGCGUUCAGUGACCUGACAUCCCAGCUCCACAUCACCCCAGGGACAGCAUAUCAGAGCUUUGAACAGGUAGUGAAUGAACUCUUCCGGGAUGGGGUAAACUGGGGUCGCAUUGUGGCCUUUUUCUCCUUCGGCGGGGCACUGUGCGUGGAAAGCGUAGACAAGGAGAUGCAGGUAUUGGUGAGUCGGAUCGCAGCUUGGAUGGCCACUUACCUGAAUGACCACCUAGAGCCUUGGAUCCAGGAGAACGGCGGCUGGGUGCCAGACACCAGUUUUGGAUUCUGGCUCCACCACUGACACAGAUGGGUGACCUUGAUCUAGUCCUUGGGUCCUUGGCCCUUGGGCACAGCUUCUUGACCUGUAAAUGGGGAGAGACAGCCUGCAUUGCAGAAUUGUUGGGAGGAUUAAAGGACAAAUUGGGACACUUUUGUGGAACUCUAUGGGAACAAUGCAGCAGCCGAGAGCCGAAAGGGCCAGGAGCGCUUCAACCGCUGGUUCCUGACGGGCAUGACUGUGGCCGGCGUGGUUCUGCUGGGCUCACUCUUCAGUCGGAAAUGACCAGACACUGACUAUCCACUCUACCCUCCCACCCUCUGCCCCACCACAUCCUCCGUCCAGCCGCCAUUGCCACCAGGAGAACCACUAUAUGCAGGCCAUGCCCACCUACCCACCACAGGGUUGGGCCCAGAUCUGGUCCCCUGCAGUUAGUUUUCUAGAAUUUAUCACACUUCUGUGAGACCCCCACACCUCAGUUCCCUUGGCCUCAGAAUUCAUAAAAUUUCCACAAAAUCUAUCCCAAGGAGGCUGGCAGGUAUGGAAGGGUUUGUGGCUGGGGGCAGGAGGGCCCUACCUGAUUGGUGCAACCCUUACCCUUUAGCCUCCCUGAAAAUGUUUUUCUGCCAGGGAGCUUGAAAGUUUUCAGAACCUCUUCCCCAGAAAGGAGACUAGAUUGCCUUUGUUUUGAUGUUUGUGGCCUCAGAAUUGAUCAUUCCCCCGCCCCCCCACACUAACCUGGGUUCCCUUUCCUUCCAUCCCUACCCCCUAAGAGCCAUUUAGGGGCCACUUUUGACUAGGGAUUCAGGCUGCUUGGGAUAAAGAUGCAAGGACCAGGACUCCCUCCUCACCUCUGGACUGGCUAGAGUCCUCACUCCCAGUCCACAUGUCCUCCAGAAGCCUCUGGCUAGAGGCCAGCCCCACCCAGGAGGGAGGGGGCUGUAGCUGCAGGAAGCACCCCAUGCCAAUGCUAGGGUGGCCCUUGCAGUUCAGCACCACUCUAGUCCCUUCCCCUCCCUGGCUCCCAUGACCAUGACUGAGGGACCAACUGGGCCCAAGACAGGUGCCCCAGAGCUGUUUAUGGCCUCAGCUGCCUCACUUCCUACAAGAGCAGCCUGUGGCACCACAGGCUUGGGCUGCUCCUCAUGGCGGGUUCAGGGGACUCAGUCCUGAGGUGAAAGGAAGCUAUCAGGAACAGCUAUGAGCCCCAGGCUCUUCCCUACCUCAGGCAGGAAGGGCAGGAAGGAGAGCCUGCUGCAUGGGGUGGGGUAGGGCUGACUAGAAGGGCCAGUCCUGCCUGGCCAGGCACAUCUGUGCCCCACGCCUGUCCAGCCUGGGGAGCCAGGCUACCAAGGUCAGAGUGGCCUGGCCAGGAGCUCUUCAGGCCUCCCUCUCUCUUCUCCACCCUUGGCCUGUCUCAUCCCCAGGGGUCCCAGCCACCCCGGGCGCUCUGCUGUACAUAUUCAAGACUAGUUUUUAUUCCUUGUGAAGAUGAUAUACUAUUUUUGUUAAGCGUGUCUGUAUUUAUGUGUGAGGAGCUGCUGGCUUGCAGUGCGCGUGCACGUGGAGAGCUGGUGCCCGGAGAUUGGACGGCCUGAUGCUCCCUCCCCUGCCCUGGUCCAGGGAAGCUGGCCGAGGGUCCUGGCUCCUGAGGGGCACCUGCCCCUCCCCCAACCCCCACCCCACACUUGUUCCAGCUCUUUGAAAUAGUCUGUGUGAAGGUGAAAGUGCAGUUCAGUAAUAAACUGUGUUUACUCAGUGAA
Molecule: RNA transcript, 3643 nt
Organism: Mandrillus leucophaeus (drill)
Lineage: Eukaryota; Metazoa; Chordata; Mammalia; Primates; Cercopithecidae
Gene: BCL2L1
Gene name: BCL2-like 1
Exons: 3
Source: RefSeq, a predicted model, not a curated record